UAGUUUUUUUACUGUUUCUAUGGUCAAAAUGUGUCACAAUCCAAAGCCUUCAACUAAUUAUAAGAGUUAGAGAUGGAUUAGGAGUGUUUAGACAACACUUAUACCCAUUUUCUCCCAAAAGAGCCUAA
RNAcentral lists this small RNA (128 nucleotides) under Arabidopsis thaliana (thale cress). RNAcentral's name for it is "ATSL035730". The record is from RNAcentral. Lineage: Eukaryota; Viridiplantae; Streptophyta; Magnoliopsida; Brassicales; Brassicaceae.